RNAcentral lists this unclassified non-coding RNA (406 nucleotides) under fungal sp. RNAcentral's name for it is "partial internal transcribed spacer region". The stretch from base 1 to 46 matches the Rfam family "Eukaryotic small subunit ribosomal RNA", at positions 1786 to 1831 of the family's 1831-position model. Lineage: Eukaryota; Fungi. The record is from RNAcentral.
AAGUCGUAACAAGGUUUCCGUAGGUGAACCUGCGGAAGGAUCAUUAACACGUAUCCACGUUUAUAAACCAACUUACAUACUCUGAACUGUGCUCCCUGGAAAUUCGACUUCGAUGCUGUCUGUGGAGGAGGCUGUAGUGGGUCUUGGUGUAAUGCUUUGACACGUCACCUUCACAUUCGGAUGCUUUGACAUCUGGGCUAGAGACUGAACGACCGGGCUUAAUCCUUUCACGUAUACUUCCAACCACUUUCGAACAUACGUGGGAGACCCAUAACAAACUAUUCACCCUAUUUUACCUAUUUUGGCAAUAUGAAAUACCAAGUCGACCACAACGUUGAGUCGAGUAGGAUUUCUUAAGAUUUAUCUUAACUAAGCACAACUCUUAGCAAUGGAUAUCUUGGUUCUC